AGAAGUGAAACUUCAUGUACAGGGACCAGGAAUAAUGCUCUUAGCACAGGACUGGCUCGUGAGCAGCCUUUGACAGUAUGUGAGCUUCUGCUUCCGUAUGUGCGUCUUUUCAUUCCUCCCAGUGUGGAGAAACAGAAUAUGAGUAGGAGGCAAAGGAGAUGGAAAGUGGGAAGAUUCUGACCCCAACAAAGGCUUUGGAGUGAAGGAUAGUUCUGUAUUUCACAGCAUCCCUGGGCUGGUGUUCUCCAGGACCUGAGAUGAGCCAGACGUAUGAAAAAUGUAUCAUUGGGCUGCUACCAGCUGUAUGCAGAUUCUAGAACCAAAGAGGACAAAUCCUUGCUCAAACUGUAAAGAGGAAAACCAUCUAUCGGGGCCAGCGUUUCACAGAGGAACUAUGCCAUGCAACACAACCUGGGAAACACCACUGAAGCAAGCAGGAUUUCCUCUCCCAUGAGGUCUGGUAUGUAUUCCCUCAAUGUGCUGUAUUUGCAUAAAUCAUAUUAUGUAGGUGGCUGCCUGUUUUGCCCAUGGUCAGGGCCAGCCAUAGAUAGGGUACAACCCUGGAGUGAACAAAACAGGAGUCACUCCUGGGCAGAGAACACAAACUUUGUCAGAAAAUAAAUUACUGGAAACAUUUUUAUUAAAGAAGAGGAGUAGUUUUGAGGGUGUGAUAACUUCCGUUAAAGCUUGCGCAGUUAAUCAUUCCUUGUUUGAGGUUUGGACUUUCUUCCCUUUGAUGUAAUUAGCCAUUAGGCUUUCUGAAGUACAUUUUUCAUGUCAAGGAGACAAUGGUUUCAAAGGAGAGAUAGGGUGGGGCUGAAAGGAAGGCCAAGUUAAUGCAUAGAACAGCAAAAGACACAGGAAAAUAUCAACACUUCUUGCACAAGCCAUUUGCUAGCGGUGCAUGGGAACACGAUGCUAUUUUCACUAUAAAUACAGCAACGUGUUACACUCUGUUUGCUGCACUGUGAGGGUUUUCCGGCACUUUUUUCUGAAUUGUGAGAUGGGGAAGUGUGUGUAUUUGGGAGUGGCAUAGAACCAUUUCCCCUGCUUCAACCAAAGACGCUCUCCUGUUAUGUUUUUGUUUAUGCUUCGAAUUAAGAUGCCAUUUGCAAAAAUAGUAAUUGCUAAAAACUAUUUAUAACCUCUGAAAUAGAUGAAUUACCUGAGUGAGAGAGGAUUGGUUAGUCACCUGUUGCCCCAUUCCUGUCCCAGUUGACUUUGUUAUAGCAGAAAAAAUAUCAGGUCAAGUUAUUGAAAGAAAGAGUAUUUUAUCCAAACUCUUUAUUCAUUCCAUAAGUGUUUAUGGGAAGUACUCUAUAUACAAGAUACAGUUUGGUUUUGUGUAAAUGUGUAAGCAUAUGCACACAUACAGGAAUUAGUAUGUGAUUGUGUGUAUAUGUACAUGUAUAUACACACACGUGUGUAUAUGCGUGUACAUGUGUGCACGCACACAUGCCUGCGUGUGUGUGAUUUAGAGGAACUUCAAAGCUGACACAGAUCUGAAUCCUGGCUUUAAAGAGCUUGGUCUAGUACAAGAAGUAAGGCAUGUGUACAAACAACUAUAACCAAAGCAGAAAGUAGUUUGUGUCAUCUAGUAGGUGAGGACUAGUUCACAUUCAAGUUUAAAUAAAAAUAUCCCUCCCCAAGAGGAUGUCCUCAUCUUUGUUCUUUGUCUUUGAAAAUUAUAUAAAAAAUACAAAUUAGACAGGUUAAUAUUUAAAACAUCAGAUUUCUGCCACUCCAGACUCAUUUUUUAAAAUUAGUUUUUGGUCAUAUUUGUGUGAGCCCUUUUAUGGAAAAACUAAGACAAAGUUAAAGCUUCCUUCGAUCCUCCAGUUCCAUUCACCUGGGUCUGUAUGUGUGGCAAUUACUGGUGAGAAUGUGGGAUGUGCCCUUCCGGCUCUUGG
Felis catus (domestic cat) is the source of this 1910-nucleotide long non-coding RNA. RefSeq lists it as uncharacterized. The record is from RefSeq and is a predicted model, not a curated record. NCBI's taxonomy places the organism in Eukaryota, Metazoa, Chordata, Mammalia, Carnivora, Felidae. The transcript has 3 exons.